UAGAGUUUGAUCAUGGCUCAGAUUGAACGCUGGUGGCAGGCCUAACACAUGCAAGUCGAGCGGCAGCGGAAAGUAGCUUGCUACUUUGCCGGCGAGCGGCGGACGGGUGAGUAAUGUCUGGGAAACUGCCUGAUGGAGGGGGAUAACUACUGGAAACGGUAGCUAAUACCGCAUGAUGUCGCAAGACCAAAGUGGGGGACCUUCGGGCCUCACGCCAUCGGAUGUGCCCAGAUGGGAUUAGCUAGUAGGUGAGGUAAUGGCUCACCUAGGCGACGAUCCCUAGCUGGUCUGAGAGGAUGACCAGCCACACUGGAACUGAGACACGGUCCAGACUCCUACGGGAGGCAGCAGUGGGGAAUAUUGCACAAUGGGCGCAAGCCUGAUGCAGCCAUGCCGCGUGUGUGAAGAAGGCCUUAGGGUUGUAAAGCACUUUCAGCGAGGAGGAAGGCGUUGUAGUUAAUAGCUGCAACGAUUGACGUUACUCGCAGAAGAAGCACCGGCUAACUCCGUGCCAGCAGCCGCGGUAAUACGGAGGGUGCAAGCGUUAAUCGGAAUUACUGGGCGUAAAGCGCACGCAGGCGGUUUGUUAAGUCAGAUGUGAAAUCCCCGAGCUUAACUUGGGAACUGCAUUUGAAACUGGCAAGCUAGAGUCUUGUAGAGGGGGGUAGAAUUCCAGGUGUAGCGGUGAAAUGCGUAGAGAUCUGGAGGAAUACCGGUGGCGAAGGCGGCCCCCUGGACAAAGACUACGCUCAG
This 753-nucleotide ribosomal RNA is filed under the name uncultured bacterium. Its description in RNAcentral is "bacterial SSU rRNA". It matches the Rfam family "Bacterial small subunit ribosomal RNA", at positions 1 to 750 of the family's 1533-position model. The record is from RNAcentral.